UGAACGCUAGCGACAGGCUUAACACAUGCAAGUCGAGGGGCAGCAUGAUUUGUAGCAAUACAGAUUGAUGGCGACCGGCGCACGGGUGAGUAACGCGUAUGCAACUUACCUAUCAGAGGGGGAUAGCCCGGCGAAAGUCGGAUUAAUACCCCAUAAAACAGGGGUCCCGCAUGGGAAUAUUUGUUAAAGAUUCAUCGCUGAUAGAUAGGCAUGCGUUCCAUUAGGUAGUAGGCGGGGUAACGGCCCACCUAGCCGACGAUGGAUAGGGGGUUCUGAGAGGAAGGUCCCCCACAUUGGAACUGAGACACGGUCCAAACUCCUACGGGAGGCAGCAGUGAGGAAUAUUGGUCAAUGGACGAGAGUCUGAACCAGCCAAGUAGCGUGAAGGAUGAAGGUCCUACGGAUUGUAAACUUCUUUUAUAAGGGAAUAAACCCUCCCACGUGUGGGAGCUUGUAUGUACCUUAUGAAUAAGCAUCGGCUAACUCCGUG
This 490-nucleotide ribosomal RNA is filed under the name uncultured bacterium. RNAcentral describes it as "bacterial SSU rRNA". It matches the Rfam family "Bacterial small subunit ribosomal RNA", at positions 30 to 507 of the family's 1533-position model. The record is from RNAcentral.